This is a long non-coding RNA of Pseudophryne corroboree (corroboree frog), 851 nucleotides long. RefSeq lists it as uncharacterized. The record is from RefSeq and is a predicted model, not a curated record. The transcript has 3 exons. Lineage: Eukaryota; Metazoa; Chordata; Amphibia; Anura; Myobatrachidae.
AUAAGACUCCUGACUUGCAGCCAGAAGCAAUGGACCAGGAUAAGGAAUAACAGCAUUUUUCAAUAGAAAAUGCAUUCAAAAUAUUAUAUUUCCUGCUGCAAGCAGACUUGUGAGGAAUCAGCUGCACUCAACGCACCUGAAUAGCUCUGAUUUCUAAUGUUUUGGAAGUCAGACCUCUCUGCUGCACACUAUACAUGGAGACUUAUGGAAGGCCUGUACUGAGAUAUAUAGGUACUCUUCCAGUUGCUUUCUUGGACAGUAACUACAACAGAGACAUCUGCAGGCAGUAGAAGGGUAUUGCACUCAAUCAAGACUUAAGGGUUUGAAUGACGACUUACCACAAAUAAGAAGGGUGGUCAUCUGUGCUCAGACCCAGGGCAGCCAUCAAGCGGGACUGUGGGGACUGGUGUCCGUGCCCUUACAGAGAGGGGGGCCCAUCCCCGGCUCUUACCGCCAAUACUUGUAGAGCUGCACCAGUCUGUGAAUCAACAGCAGUCUGAUGCACAAGGAGGACUUCUUAAAUCAAGCCUAAUCUGUGCAUUAGCUCUCUGUAAACCAUGCCAGUAGGUCUGCAACACUCCACGUAUAUGUGGAGCAGUGCAACAAAAUAUUUUUUUGGGAGAGGUAGGGGCCAUGGCUAUUUUGUCAGUCCCGGGUCCCCAUAUUUUCUGAUGGCAGCACUGCUCAGACCCAUGGCUCCAAAGGUACCACAUAAACCACUUUAUACCUGGGCCCUAAUAAGUCCUGUGCUGCUGUCAUCACAUUGUGUUGUACAUAUGUGUAGGGCUCAUAUUGGUCCCAUUUACCCUAGGACAGGCAUGUCCAAACUGCGGCCCUCCAGCUGUUGAGAA